Molecule: ribosomal RNA, 785 nt
Filed under: uncultured Glomus
Lineage: Eukaryota; Fungi; Glomeromycota; Glomeromycetes; Glomerales; Glomeraceae
Description: SSU rRNA
Rfam family: Eukaryotic small subunit ribosomal RNA
Source: RNAcentral
AUGGUAGGAUAGAGGCCUACCAUGGUGGUAACGGGUAACGGGGUGUUAGGGCACGACACCGGAGAGGGAGCCUGAGAAACGGCUACCACAUCCAAGGAUGGCAGCAGGCGCGCAAAUUACCCAAUCCCGACACGGGGAGGUAGUGACAAUAAAUAACAAUACGGGGUUCUUUAGGAUCUCGUAAUUGGAGUGAGUACAAUUUAAAUCUCUUAACGAGGAACAAUUGGAGGGCAAGUCUGGUGCCAGCAGCCGCGGUAAUUCCAGCUCCAAUAGCGUAUAUUAAAGUUGUUGCAGUUAAAAAGCUCGUAGUUGAAUUUCGGGGUCAGUAGGUCGGUCGUGCCACUGGUAUGAACUGGUUUUACUGAUUCCUCCCUCUUGAAGAACUGUAAUGCCAUUAAUUUGGUGUUGCAGGGAAUCAGGACUGUUACUUUGAAAAAAUUAGAGUGUUUAAAGCAGGCUUUAGCUUGAAUACAUUAGCAUGGAGUAAUGAAAUAGGACGUUUGAUCCUAUUUUGUUGGUUUCUAGGAUUGACGUAAUGAUUAAUAGGGAUAGUUGGGGGCAUUAGUAUUCAAUUGUCAGAGGUGAAAUUCUUGGAUUUAUUGAAGACUAACUACUGCGAAAGCAUUUGCCAAGGAUGUUUUCAUUAAUCAAGAACGAAAGUUAGGGGAUCGAAGACGAUCAGAUACCGUCGUAGUCUUAACCAUAAACUAUGCCGACUAGGGAUCGGAUGAUGUUAAUUUUUUAAUGACUCAUUCGGCGCCUUACGGGAAACCAAAGUGUUUGGG